AGAUUGAACGCUGGCGGCAUGCUUUACACAUGCAAGUCGAACGGUAACAGGCCGCAAGGUGCUGACGAGUGGCGAACGGGUGAGUAAUGCAUCGGAACGUGCCCAGUCGUGGGGGAUAACGCAGCGAAAGCUGUGCUAAUACCGCAUACGAUCUAUGGAUGAAAGCGGGGGACCAAAGGCCUCGCGCGAUUGGGAGCGGCCGAUGUCAGUAUUAGCUUAGGUUGGGUCGGGGUAGAACGGCCCACCGAAGGCGACGAUCUAGUAGCUGGUCUGGAGAGGACGACCAGCCACUACGUGGAACUGGACGACCGACGGUCCAGACCUCCGAGGGAGCAGUCGAGGUGGGUAUUUGGACAGUGGGCGACGAACGCC
Molecule: ribosomal RNA, 372 nt
Filed under: uncultured soil bacterium
Lineage: Bacteria
Description: bacterial SSU rRNA
Rfam family: Bacterial small subunit ribosomal RNA
Source: RNAcentral